This 301-nucleotide ribosomal RNA is filed under the name uncultured bacterium. Its description in RNAcentral is "partial 16S ribosomal RNA". It matches the Rfam family "Bacterial small subunit ribosomal RNA", at positions 509 to 807 of the family's 1533-position model. The record is from RNAcentral.
CAGUCGCCGCGGUAAUACGAAGGGUGCAAGCGUUAAUCGGAAUUACUGGGCGUAAAGCGUGCGUAGGCGGUGAGUUAAGUCUGUUGUGAAAUCCCCGGGCUCAACCUGGGAAUGGCAAUGGAUACUGGCAAGCUAGAGUGUGUCAGAGGAUGGUGGAAUUCCCGGUGUAGCGGUGAAAUGCGUAGAGAUCGGGAGGAACAUCAGUGGCGAAGGCGGCCAUCUGGGACAACACUGACGCUGAGGCGCGAAAGCGUGGGGAGCAAACAGGAUUAGAUACCCCCGUAGUCCCUGUCUCUUAUAC